Molecule: ribosomal RNA, 467 nt
Filed under: uncultured Staphylococcus sp.
Lineage: Bacteria; Bacillati; Bacillota; Bacilli; Caryophanales; Staphylococcaceae
Description: bacterial SSU rRNA
Rfam family: Bacterial small subunit ribosomal RNA
Source: RNAcentral
UGACAUCCAGAGAACUUUCCAGAGAUGGAUUGGUGCCUUCGGGAACUCUGAGACAGGUGCUGCAUGGCUGUCGUCAGCUCGUGUUGUGAAAUGUUGGGUUAAGUCCCGCAACGAGCGCAACCCUUAUCCUUUGUUGCCAGCGGUCCGGCCGGGAACUCAAAGGAGACUGCCAGUGAUAAACUGGAGGAAGGUGGGGAUGACGUCAAGUCAUCAUGGCCCUUACGAGUAGGGCUACACACGUGUUACAAUGGCGCAUACAAAGAGAAGCGACCUCGCGAGAGCAAGCGGACCUCAUAAAGUGCGUCGUAGUCCGGAUUGGAGUCUGCAACUCGACUCCAUGAGGUCGGAAUCGCUAGUAAUCGUGGAUCAGAAUGCCACGGUGAAUACGUUCCCGGGCCUUGUACACACCGCCCGUCACACCAUGGGAGUGGGUUGCAAAAGAAGUAGGUAGCUUAACCUUCGGGAGG